UACGGGGGGGGCAAGCGUUGUUCGGAAUUACUGGGCGUAAAGGGCUCGUAGGUGGCCAACUAAGUCAGACGUGAAAUCCCUCGGCUUAACCGGGGAACUGCGUCUGAUACUGGAUGGCUUGAGAUUGGGAGAGGGAUGCGGAAUUCCAGGUGGAGCGGUGAAAUGCGUAGAGAUCUGGAGGAACACCAAAGGCGAAGGCAGUGUCCUGGGAGGCACCUGACGCUCAGGCGCGAAAGCCAGGGGAGCGAACGGG
RNAcentral lists this ribosomal RNA (253 nucleotides) under uncultured bacterium. RNAcentral's name for it is "partial 16S ribosomal RNA". It matches the Rfam family "Bacterial small subunit ribosomal RNA", at positions 524 to 776 of the family's 1533-position model. The record is from RNAcentral.